ACUGCUCAGUAACACGUGGAUAACCUGCCCUUUGGGUCCGGCAUAACUCCGGGAAACUGGAGAUAAUUCCGGAUAACGCAUAUAUGCUGGAAUGCUUUAUGCGUAAAAUGGAUUCGUCUGCCCAAGGAUGGGUCUGCGGCCUAUCAGGUAGUAGUGGGUGUAAUGUACCUACUAGCCUACGACGGGUACGGGUUGUGAGAGCAAGAGCCCGGAGAUGGAUUCUGAGACAUGAAUCCAGGCCCUACGGGGCGCAGCAGGCGCGAAAACUUUACAAUGCGGGAAACCGUGAUAAGGGGACACCGAGUGCCAGCAUCAUAUGCUGGCUGUCCAGGUGUGUAAAAUACACCUGUUAGCAAGGGCCGGGCAAGACCGGUGCCAGCCGCCGCGGUAAUACCGGCGGCUCGAGUGGUGGCCGAUAUUAUUGAGUCUAAAGGGUCCGUAGCCGGCUUUGCAAGUCUUUUGGGAAAUCCAGCGGCUUAACCGUUGGUCGUCCGGGAGAUACUACAUUGCUUGGGACUGGGAGAGGUAAGAGGUACUCAGGGGGUAGGAGUGAAAUCCUGUAAUCCUUUGGGGACCACCGGUGGCGAAGGCGUCUUACCAGAACAGGUCCGACGGUGAGGGACGAAAGCUAGGGGCACGAGCCGGAUUAGAUACCCGGGUAGUCCUAGCCGUAAACGAUGCUCGCUAGGUGUCACAACAAUCGUGAAUUGUUGUGGUGCCGUAGGGAAGCCGUGAAGCGAGCCACUUGGGAAGUACGACCGCAAGGUUGAAACUUAAAGGAAUUGGCGGGGGAGCAC
This 797-nucleotide ribosomal RNA is filed under the name uncultured archaeon. RNAcentral's name for it is "bacterial SSU rRNA". It matches the Rfam family "Archaeal small subunit ribosomal RNA", at positions 85 to 879 of the family's 1478-position model. The record is from RNAcentral.